Long non-coding RNA from Amphiprion ocellaris (clown anemonefish), 814 nucleotides. RefSeq lists it as uncharacterized. The record is from RefSeq and is a predicted model, not a curated record. The transcript is spliced from 2 exons. NCBI's taxonomy places the organism in Eukaryota, Metazoa, Chordata, Actinopteri, Pomacentridae.
AAAACAAUAGUAUAGCUGUCGUUCUCCUGCAUUAUUUUGGCCUUAUUGGGGUUCGGCCAAUCCCAGUCGUCGCGGUGACGUCAUUACGUUGUUCCCCUCAGCGCGCUGUGUUGUAAUUAGCGGCUGCAGCAUUCAGGCGUGCAGGAGCGGUGGGGAAGCCACACACGAGAGAGUUGCAGCUCUGUUUUCAGCUAUUUUCGCUAUUUUAAUUGUAAUACUUGUUUUAAACUCUUAGGAGCCCCUUAUCGUAGCCAAAUCAGAGACGGACGACGGAGUGAGAGAGUAGAUGCAAAUCGUGGAACUGGCCAGGUCCUUGAUUGAUGGCGAGCUUAAUGGAGCCCUGAACCUAAAGCAAAGCAACUGCUGAAGAACUGAGUCGCACCUCUCCUGCCAGGCUGGUAGGGGGCUCUUUGUGGCCCACAAACUCUCCCCACUCAAAACCUUGAAUUGUCCGCCUUGCCCACAUACAAUCUUUUUUUCCACAAACCCCUCCCAUGCGCACUUUUCCUCCUGGACAAUCACAUUCAACCCAGACGUGGGUUACAUGAACUGUGGGUUGGGUUGGUACAUCGGGGUCAAUUCCCAAGUGUUGGGAAUUUUGUGGACUCAUUUGUGCUUUGCAUUGACAUUCGAAUUGUAUAUCAAUGUUUCUGAGUCAUGUCCUGAAGUUGCAUAGUUAAUGAAUUAUUUUGAAUAUUCAUUAUUGAAUGGCCAUUUGUGAGUUACUGUUUGUUAUUCACUGUAAAUAUUUGCACUGUUGGCUGUCUUGUAUGUUUAAAGAAAUAUUCAAUAUAUGGUACCUGCAAAUACAAAA